GAGAAAGUGGCAGAUCGGUAAUGCGUGUGAUUUGAAAUCAUAAUGGGGGGGUUCAACUCCUUCCUUUCUUG
RNAcentral lists this transfer RNA (71 nucleotides) under Oreolalax omeimontis (Omei lazy toad). RNAcentral's name for it is "tRNA-Ser". It matches the Rfam family "tRNA". From Rfam's summary of the family: Transfer RNA (tRNA) molecules are approximately 80 nucleotides in length. Their secondary structure includes four short double-helical elements and three loops (D, anti-codon, and T loops). The record is from RNAcentral. Lineage: Eukaryota; Metazoa; Chordata; Amphibia; Anura; Megophryidae.